GACAGAGGUCCCGAGCGUUAGGCGGAAUCACUGGGCUUAAAGCGUGUGUAGGCGGACUUGUAAGUACCUUGUGAAAUCCCACGGCUUAACCGUGGAACUGCUCGGUAUACUGCGAGUCUUGAGCCACUUAGGGGCUACCGGAACAAAUGGUGGAGCGGUGAAAUGCGCAGAUAUCAGGAGGAACACCGGUGGCGAAGGCGGGUCUCUGGGCCGAUACUGACGCUGAGGAGCGAAAGCGUGGGGAGCGAACAGG
RNAcentral lists this ribosomal RNA (253 nucleotides) under uncultured bacterium. Its description in RNAcentral is "partial 16S ribosomal RNA". It matches the Rfam family "Bacterial small subunit ribosomal RNA", at positions 524 to 776 of the family's 1533-position model. The record is from RNAcentral.